CGAACGGGUGAGUAACACGUAUGCAACCUGCCUGCCACAGCCGGAUAAUCGGGAGAAAUUCCGUCUAAUACGGCAUAAUGCAUCGACGGGACAUCCUGUUGGUGCCAAAGGUUAAUUCCGGUGGCGGAUGGGCAUGCGUCGCAUUAGUUAGUUGGCGGUGUAACGGACCACCAAGACGACGAUGCGUAGGGGUUCUGAGAGGAAGGUCCCCCACACUGGUACUGAGACACGGACCAGACUCCUACGGAAGGCAGCAG
RNAcentral lists this ribosomal RNA (257 nucleotides) under uncultured bacterium. RNAcentral describes it as "partial 16S ribosomal RNA". It matches the Rfam family "Bacterial small subunit ribosomal RNA", at positions 99 to 354 of the family's 1533-position model. The record is from RNAcentral.